This 1024-nucleotide long non-coding RNA is filed under the name Sorghum bicolor (sorghum). RNAcentral describes it as "long non-coding RNA (SBIC_LNC003672)". Lineage: Eukaryota; Viridiplantae; Streptophyta; Magnoliopsida; Poales; Poaceae. The record is from RNAcentral.
AUUGAAGUAUUGGUUAGAACAGCUGAAACACCAUAAACAUAGUAUUACAACAACAACAACGAACGGCUGUUGCAACAACAGGUAACAACUAAUACAAUAGCAUAGGUUGAAGCAUUGGAUGGAGCAACCGAAACACUAUGGACAUAGUAUUACAACAAUAUCGAACAAUUGUUGCAACAAUAUGCAACAACUAAUACAACAGUGCAGAUUGAAGCAUUGGAUGGAGCAACUGAAACACCAUGGACAUAGUACUACAACAACAACAAACAACUGUUGUAACAACAUGAAACAAACUACUACAACAUACAGAUUGAAGCAACUGAAACAUCUCAAAAACACAAUACUGAAACAACGACUGAAACCUACUGCAACGUCUAGAAAGAACCAUUGCAACAAUGACAAAAUCUGAAGCUGAGAGCUUGCCGAAAAUCCUAUCAUACUGCAACAUCACCUGAAAAACUGAAAAUAACCACCAUUACAACACGCGAGAGCACUGAAUCCCAAGAGCUCGCCGGAACCCUAGCCAACACAUCUCAUAGAUCUAGACCCAGAGGAAGAGGAGAAGGAGGAGGAGCAGAGGAGGGCCUAGAUCCAGAUCCACAAAAGAGGAGGGAGGGAAAAGGAAGAGGGAGGCCUCAGAUCCAAAUCUCUCCCCACCUACCUCGUCGGAGCCGCGCCGUUCUCUCCAUCUCCGGAUGCAUGGAGGUUAUGAGAGCGAGGGAAAAAGGGCAGGGAGAAAGGGAGCUGCGCCGCUCACUGGAUGCUACCACCGUCACGCUCUACUCCGGUGGCUUCGAGGGCGCGUGGGUCGCAGCGAGGAGGGAGGGAGGAGCGGCUCGCCAUUGGCGCGGCAGGAAGUGCGGACGCAUGGUGGGAGCAACGAGGAGGGAGGGAGGAGCGGCUCGCCAUUGGCGCGGCAGGAAGUGCAGCCGCAUGGUGAGAGCGGCGGGGCGGCAGCGAGACGAGAGAAAAGAGUGGAGAGGAAAAAAAUGAGUGGAUAAGAAGGCAUAGAGGAGGAGCGAAA